Molecule: ribosomal RNA, 927 nt
Filed under: Promicromonospora sukumoe
Lineage: Bacteria; Bacillati; Actinomycetota; Actinomycetes; Micrococcales; Promicromonosporaceae
Also listed under: 1 other name
Description: bacterial SSU rRNA
Rfam family: Bacterial small subunit ribosomal RNA
Source: RNAcentral
UGCAAGUCGAACGGUGAAGCCCAGCUUGCUGGGUGGAUCAGUGGCGAACGGGUGAGUAACACGUGAGCAACCUGCCCCCUACUUCGGGAUAAGCCUUGGAAACGAGGUCUAAUACCGGAUAUGAACACUUGUCGCAUGGCGGGUGUUGGAAAGUUUUUCGGUGGGGGAUGGGCUCGCGGCCUAUCAGCUUGUUGGUGGGGUAAUGGCCUACCAAGGCGUCGACGGGUAGCCGGCCUGAGAGGGCGACCGGCCACACUGGGACUGAGACACGGCCCAGACUCCUACGGGAGGCAGCAGUGGGGAAUAUUGCACAAUGGGCGAAAGCCUGAUGCAGCGACGCCACGUGAGGGAUGACGGCCUUCGGGUUGUAAACCUCUUUCAGCAGGGAAGAAGCGAAAGUGACGGUACCUGCAGAAGAAGCGCCGGCUAACUACGUGCCAGCAGCCGCGGUAAUACGUAGGGCGCAAGCGUUGUCCGGAAUUAUUGGGCGUAAAGAGCUCGUAGGCGGUCUGUCGCGUCUGGUGUGAAAUCCCAUGGCUCAACUGUGGGCUUGCAUCGGGUACGGGCAGACUAGAGUGCUGUAGGGGAGACUGGAAUUCCUGGUGUAGCGGUGGAAUGCGCAGAUAUCAGGAGGAACACCGAUGGCGAAGGCAGGUCUCUGGGCAGUUACUGACGCUGAGGAGCGAAAGCAUGGGGAGCGAACAGGAUUAGAUACCCUGGUAGUCCAUGCCGUAAACGUUGGGCACUAGGUGUGGGGCCAGUUCCACUGGUUCUGUGCCGCAGCUAACGCAUUAAGUGCCCCGCCUGGGGAGUACGGCCGCAAGGCUAAAACUCAAAGGAAUUGACGGGGGCCCGCACAAGCGGCGGAGCAUGCGGAUUAAUUCGAUGCAACGCGAAGAACCUUACCAAGGCUUGACAUGUACGAGA